RNAcentral lists this ribosomal RNA (460 nucleotides) under uncultured bacterium. RNAcentral's name for it is "partial 16S ribosomal RNA". It matches the Rfam family "Bacterial small subunit ribosomal RNA", at positions 338 to 795 of the family's 1533-position model. The record is from RNAcentral.
CCUACGGGUGGCAGCAGUGAGGAAUAUUGGUCAAUGGACGAGAGUCUGAACCAGCCAUGCAGCGUGAAGGAAGACGGCUCUAUGAGUUGUAAACUGCUUUUAUACGAGAAUAAAAGGAGAUACGCGUAUCUGUCUGAAAGUAUCAUACGAAUAAGGAUCGGCUAACUCCGUGCCAGCAGCCGCGGUAAUACGGAGGAUUCGAGCGUUAUCCGGAUUUAUUGGGUUUAAAGGGUGCGUAGGCGGUCUGGUAAGUUAGAUGUGAAAGUCCGAGGCUCAACCGCGGAAUUGCAGUUGAUACUGGUCGGCUAGAGAGCAGUUGCGGUAGGCGGAAUUCAUGGUGUAGCGGUGAAAUGCUUAGAGAUCAUACAGAACACCGAUUGCGAAGGCAGCUCACUAAGCUACUUCUGACGUUGAGGCACGAAAGUGUGGGGAGCAAACAGGAUUAGAUACCCCAGUAGUC